RNAcentral lists this ribosomal RNA (493 nucleotides) under Staphylococcus aureus. RNAcentral describes it as "partial 23S ribosomal RNA". It matches the Rfam family "Bacterial large subunit ribosomal RNA", at positions 350 to 846 of the family's 2925-position model. The record is from RNAcentral. Lineage: Bacteria; Bacillati; Bacillota; Bacilli; Caryophanales; Staphylococcaceae.
AUGAAUCAAAGAAGGUAAUAAUCCUGUAGUCGAAAAUGUUGUCUCUCUUGAGUGGAUCCUGAGUACGACGGAGCACGUGAAAUUCCGUCGGAAUCUGGGAGGACCAUCUCCUAAGGCUAAAUACUCUCUAGUGACCGAUAGUGAACCAGUACCGUGAGGGAAAGGUGAAAAGCACCCCGGAAGGGGAGUGAAAUAGAACCUGAAACCGUGUGCUUACAAGUAGUCAGAGCCCGUUAAUGGGUGAUGGCGUGCCUUUUGUAGAAUGAACCGGCGAGUUACGAUUUGAUGCAAGGUUAAGCAGUAAAUGUGGAGCCGUAGCGAAAGCGAGUCUGAAUAGGGCGUUUAGUAUUUGGUCGUAGACCCGAAACCAGGUGAUCUACCCUUGGUCAGGUUGAAGUUCAGGUAACACUGAAUGGAGGACCGAACCGACUUACGUUGAAAAGUGAGCGGAUGAACUGAGGGUAGCGGAGAAAUUCCAAUCGAACCUGGAGAU